ACCAGACUCCUACGGGAGGCAGCAGUGGGGGAUAUUGCACAAUGGGGGAAGCCCUGAUGCAGCGACGCCGCGUGAGUGAAGAAGUAUUUCGGUAUGUAAAGCUCUAUCAGCAGGGAAGAAAAAAGACGGUACCUGACUAAGAAGCCCCGGCUAACUACGUGCCAGCAGCCGCGGUAAUACGUAGGGGGCAAGCGUUAUCCGGAUUUACUGGGUGUAAAGGGAGCGUAGACGGCAAUACAAGUCGGAAGUGAAAUACCUGGGCUCAACCUGGGAACUGCUUUGGAAACUGUAUGGCUAGAGUGCUGGAGAGGUAAGCGGAAUUCCUAGUGUAGCGGUGAAAUGCGUAGAUAUUAGGAGGAACACCAGUGGCGAAGGCGGCUUACUGGACAGUAACUGACGUUGAGGCUCGAAAGCGUGGGGAGCAAACAGGAUUAGAUACCCCAGUAU
This 447-nucleotide ribosomal RNA is filed under the name uncultured bacterium. RNAcentral describes it as "bacterial SSU rRNA". It matches the Rfam family "Bacterial small subunit ribosomal RNA", at positions 330 to 793 of the family's 1533-position model. The record is from RNAcentral.